This 468-nucleotide ribosomal RNA is filed under the name uncultured bacterium. Its description in RNAcentral is "partial 16S ribosomal RNA". It matches the Rfam family "Bacterial small subunit ribosomal RNA", at positions 28 to 507 of the family's 1533-position model. The record is from RNAcentral.
GACGAACGCUGGCGGCGUGCUUAACACAUGCAAGUCGAACGGAAAGGCCCUGCUUUUGUGGGGUGCUCGAGUGGCGAACGGGUGAGUAACACGUGAGUAACCUGCCCUUGACUUUGGGAUAACUUCAGGAAACUGGGGCUAAUACCGGAUAGGAGCUCCUGCUGCAUGGUGGGGGUUGGAAAGUUUCGGCGGUUGGGGAUGGACUCGCGGCUUAUCAGCUUGUUGGUGGGGUAGUGGCUUACCAAGGCUUUGACGGGUAGCCGGCCUGAGAGGGUGACCGGCCACAUUGGGACUGAGAUACGGCCCAGACUCCUACGGGAGGCAGCAGUGGGGAAUAUUGCACAAUGGGCGGAAGCCUGAUGCAGCAACGCCGCGUGCGGGAUGACGGCCUUCGGGUUGUAAACCGCUUUCGCCUGUGACGAAGCGUGAGAGACGGUAAUGGGUAAAGAAGCACCGGCUAACUACGUG